GACGAACGCUGGCGGCGUGCUUAACACAUGCAAGUCGAACGGAAAGGCCCUGCUUUUGUGGGGUGCUCGAGUGGCGAACGGGUGAGUAACACGUGAGUAACCUGCCCUUGACUUUGGGAUAACUUCAGGAAACUGGGGCUAAUACCGGAUAGGAGCUCCUGCUGCAUGGUGGGGGUUGGAAAGUUUCGGCGGUUGGGGAUGGACUCGCGGCUUAUCAGCUUGUUGGUGGGGUAGUGGCUUACCAAGGCUUUGGCGGGUAGCCGGCCUGAGAGGGUGACCGGCCACAUUGGGACUGAGAUACGGCCCAGACUCCUACGGGAGGCAGCAGUGGGGAAUAUUGUACAAUGGGCGGAAGCCUGAUGCAGCAACGCCGCGUGCGGGAUGACGGCCUUCGGGUUGUAAACCGCUUUCGCCUGUGACGAAGCGUGAGUGACGGUAAUGGGUAAAGAAGCACCGGCUAACUACGU
RNAcentral lists this ribosomal RNA (467 nucleotides) under uncultured bacterium. RNAcentral's name for it is "partial 16S ribosomal RNA". It matches the Rfam family "Bacterial small subunit ribosomal RNA", at positions 28 to 506 of the family's 1533-position model. The record is from RNAcentral.